AUUGAACGCUGGCGGCAGGCCUAACACAUGCAAGUCGAGCGGUAGCACAGAGAGCUUGCUCUCGGGUGACGAGCGGCGGACGGGUGAGUAAUGUCAGGGAAACUGCCCGAUGGAGGGGGAUAACUACUGGAAACGGUAGCUAAUACCGCAUAACGUCGCAAGACCAAAGAGGGGGACCUUCGGGCCUCUUGCCAUCGGAUGUGCCCAGAUGGGAUUAGCUAGUAGGUGGGGUAACGGCUCACCUAGGCGACGAUCCCUAGCUGGUCUGAGAGGAUGACCAGCCACACUGGAACUGAGACACGGUCCAGACUCCUACGGGAGGCAGCAGUGGGGAAUAUUGCACAAUGGGCGCAAGCCUGAUGCAGCCAUGCCGCGUGUAUGAAGAAGGCCUUCGGGUUGUAAAGUACUUUCAGCGGGGAGGAAGGUGUUGAGGUUAAUAACCUCAGCAAUUGACGUUACCCGCAGAAGAAGCACCGGCUAACUCCGUGCCAGCAGCCGCAGUAA
RNAcentral lists this ribosomal RNA (504 nucleotides) under uncultured bacterium. Its description in RNAcentral is "partial 16S ribosomal RNA". It matches the Rfam family "Bacterial small subunit ribosomal RNA", at positions 30 to 523 of the family's 1533-position model. The record is from RNAcentral.